UGCAUGGUUGUCGUCAGCUCGUGCCGUGAGGUGUCGGGUUAAGUCCCAUAACGAGCGCAACCCCUACCUUUAGUUGCCAUCAGGUAAUGCUGGGGACUCUAAAGGAACUGCCUACGCAAGUAGUGAGGAAGGCGGGGAGUGACGUCAAACCAGCACGGCCCUUACGUCCAGGGCUACACACGUGCUACAAUGGCCGAUACAGAGGGCAGCUACCUGGUGACAGGAUGCAAAUCUCCAAAGUCGGUCUCAGUUCGGAUCGGAGUCUGCAACCCGACUCCGUGAAGUUGGAUUCGCUAGUAAUCGCGCAUCAGCCAUGGCGCGGUGAAUACGUUCCCGGGCCUU
This 342-nucleotide ribosomal RNA is filed under the name uncultured Sphingobacteriales bacterium. RNAcentral describes it as "bacterial SSU rRNA". It matches the Rfam family "Bacterial small subunit ribosomal RNA", at positions 1042 to 1382 of the family's 1533-position model. Lineage: Bacteria; Pseudomonadati; Bacteroidota; Sphingobacteriia; Sphingobacteriales. The record is from RNAcentral.